Molecule: long non-coding RNA, 3816 nt
Filed under: Triticum aestivum (bread wheat)
Lineage: Eukaryota; Viridiplantae; Streptophyta; Magnoliopsida; Poales; Poaceae
Description: long non-coding RNA (TAES_LNC000611)
Source: RNAcentral
AACACAUAUUAAUUAAUUUCACAUGUAAAUACUUCAUCCGUUAUCAACAUAAUGACUUUCAAAAUUUCCCAUAAGCUAAUAUAGCUAAUUAACUGGACGAAACAUUAUGGUUCAUUGUCUCAAACACAAUGUGGGUUUACAAAAUGAUAGAUAAAAUUCAUCACCAAUGAUUCAAUCACCACUACACAAAAUAUCCUGAACCGCCGGCUUUAUGGUUCCUCCUCCGCUUGCAUGUCUUUCCUGCAAAAUGUAAAGAAGUUGCCAUUACAUUCUUACAUUCAUAAAUACAAUGUACCAUAAAAAUUGGAUAAAGCAUAGCAUUGACAACAGCUAUUACUUCACAAGGCAAGCAAGUACCAAAAUACCUACUCAAGAAGGCACUCCAUUCAAGUAUAGGUAACCACUAGAAGUAGACGCAAGCCUUGCCACACUGCUUUUCAUUGUGGACCCGCUUUUAUCUCUCUUAUUCCUCACGUUCGAUGACUCAAUGCACAUAUGCAUGCUGCUCGUACUUAUGGCCAUGGUGCACAUAUAUAAGGCACUCGUGACAAAACUUCAAGAACAUCAUAGAUUACUUUAUUCAAAUAGAAUAUCAUGAAGUUUGUUUAUUGAGUGCUACACUUUAGUGUGCUCAGUGGAAAAAAAAAUUACAGUAGAAAACGGAAAAAAUGCACACCUGAUCCAAGUCACAUCAUGAUUUUCUGGGAGAGCUUACCACCAUGGGGGAAUGGUUAUAGAAAAACCUGAGACUUGAAGAUUUCUUUCCUUACCUGAUCAUCACCAAUUUCCAAUAAUAAAUUAACUAUGGAAACAUAAUACAUGUGCAACAUUAGUAAGCAAACCAAUUUAGGACAGUGUGAGGAAAGUGCAAACAUUAUUCUUUAUCUGCCACAGCAAACAUUAUUCACUGGAGCUAGAAUAAGGUAGAAAAUCCCCAGGAUACAAUUGGAAUUGGUUCCUGCUUGACUACUACUACAAUACUUCCAGUACUUCCAGUUUACCUGGGAGGUAUGAUGAACAAAUUUCUCAAUACUUACCAUGCUUUGAUAAAAGCUAAAUGCAAUGUUCAAAAGGAAAUUCUAGUGAUAGAGUAAUAUCAAAACAUGAAAGUACCAACUAAAAUACCCAUGCGAUUUGACAUAUAUAAGUUGCCCUUUCAUAUUGGCCUUUAGAAAGGACAAAUGAUACCAGAUGUGGCAUACAAAUGACUAAAAAAUAAAAUCAUAUUCCCAGAUACUAUGCUACUCCAGUAUCCAGGUGGCAUGUAAGCCACUAUGUAACUGGCAAAGACAAUUGAGAAUUCAGAUGAGAGAUAUUGCCACAUUGGCAUGAGAGGAAUUAAUCAUUCAAUGCAACUAAAUUUCAGAAAAAGAAGUUAUUAAGCAGAGACAACGGAGCUUGGAUAUUACAUUAAUACAUAGAUGAAUCUUCCUUGCAACUUGCUUGGAUUUUCAUCGACCUUGUAUGCAUAGGUAAGAGAGAAUCUGCACAAACAAAGAUUAGAGAUUCGGGGGAUUAAUGAAAAGAGAGUAGUACGAUAGAGAGAAAGUGGACAAAUCAGUAGGAAGUAGGAAUAGUAGCACACCUAGUCCUAAAAAAUAGGGACCGGCCUCACUGAGGCAUGGAGCUGCUCGUGGUAACAUAGCAGCGGAGUUACUUAGUUGAAUAACGUACGUGGGGAAAAAUAUUCCACGGCUAGCACAAAACCUGUGAAGUAUGAAGACAACACAAUUACAUCUACAUGAGGAGCAGGCUGCGAGGUUGGCGGUAUUUACCACGGUGACUUUCUAUAGGUCAGGCUUCUAAUAGUGGCCCACCGAAAAGUUAUAAGCUCUGUGCACAAAAAAAAAAAAACAGGGACAAGGAACCAUUUACGAAAUGCUGCAUGUAUUUCCUAUGUAACAAAGAAAUAAUAGGAAACUGGAGAUGUGUUUAUUGGACUAGCACAUAGUUCUAUAUGCUAGUCAGAAGUAAGUGAGGGCGUUCUACAUUGUUUGCUGUAUCACUGCACUAGGACAUCAAAACAAAUGACAAAGUUAAAGAUUAUGUUUCACUUUGUCAUUCAACUUGAUGACAACAACUUGUACAACUAAAAAAUAUCAGGUCGUUAACAGCAGAUGCUUUACUUAACUAUAGCUUGUUAAAAAUAAAGCUAAAAGUCUGCACAACCAUGCAUACUUUUGUAUGCUAAAAACCCUUAGAAGAAUAAUAUAGAAUAUUGAAUCCCUGAUUCUCAACUGAACAUUUACUAAAUGCAUUGUAAGAAUCUGGCAAGCCCUUGUAGUACUUCUCCGUAUGCCUACAUGCAAGUGUACAUAUGCAACGCGUUACAUCAGAUAUCAGCAAGUACUAACAUCUAAUCUAAGAUGUUUAACAUAUGGGGUGUUGUACCUAGGUGUAUCCAUCGAAUCUUUGUCCAUGCUAGUUGCACCUGCACACAUGAUUAAUAGUGAAUUUAAAUGCCUCACACACUGUCCACACACAAAAAAACUAGAAAUUUCAAAAUGUGAAUAGAACUAUGAAACUGAAACAAAAAUCAAAAUCAAACCCUUUCUAUGUCUCGCAUGUGGAUCAUAGGAAACAGAAUAGGUGUUCCAGGAAUUGAACUUCAUAGGAAACAAUUAAGUCUAGCAAGAAUUCAUUAUAUCAUUAUCAAACAGUUUCUAACAGUAUAAGAAAAAACCUUUUGGAAAUCCACAUGUCGUUCGGAUCCCGCUGGUUAGUAGGUUUGGCCCCCUUCUUUUGCCAGGCACUGCUUUAAAUGUUCACCAACAAUAUUAUACAUGUGGUGUCAUACGUUGUCCACACACAAAAUAACAGGAAAAGGCAAAAUCUAAAAUAUACAAGUUCAACCGAAGUUGCUGCUCAUCAAGGAAUAGCAAGAGAUUAUGCAAGUCAGGUACAGUACUGUUAUCAUGACAACUAGGAACUAAAGGUGCCACGCUGAAUUGGUAUCUUAGGGCCUGUUCGGCCGCUCUCCGCGGAGCGGAGCCGGCGGAGCGCCCUUUUAGCAGCUCUGCGUAUUAUACCUAGCAAGCCACUCCGCUCCGGCGCGGAGCCGCGGAGCGGAGGGAGUCCGAACGCGACCUUAAUUUAUGGGCGGAGGCAAGAUCUGAAACUGAACCAGAAUCUCAAGUUUCGGUUUGCCUUAUAAUGUAUUAUUGCUACACAGAUAAUUAUUAUUCUUGUACAUGAUCUCAACUUGUCACAGGACAUCAUUAGCAUUUUCAUAUAUUCUCUCGGAUCCCACUUUUCAAAGCCAGAACAACAUUCAAGAGUCUAAACUAUGGUGACAACCCAAGGUUCAGAGCAAUAAAUAUAUCAUUAAAAUCAGUCUAAAUGUGCCAUUUUCCACAAAGUAUCAUCAUAGUUAAGAUCUAUAGCUAAGUUCUAUGUUCCAAAUUUAAGCACUAUGCUAGUUACUUAUGAUGACAAUACACUAAGCAAAUUUCUUUUGAUAACGAAGGUCAACCAAAUUGACCACUAUGCAGAAGGUGUGCUCAUGCAUAACAACUACACUGUUUUCUUCUCAAAGCACAUAGUACGUGCAAAUUAGCUUUCAAAAUCCACACAUAACAUAAGCAGGAACAUGUGGAGGGGGGAAACAAUUCUUCCGAAGAGAAAUCGUUGUAUUGCUGUGAAAUAGCUAACACACGAGGUGGAUAAAGACCUUGCAUUAGAAGGACUAAAACCAACCCACUGUGCUAGUUGGAUCUGGAAGAGGCAUCUUGGAGCAUACCUUCUUGGCCGGCAGCACCUCCAGGAGAUGGUGAGCUUGGGCGCGAACGAAAAGGGAAGCUCCCGGCAGGGUUUGGA